Pangasius djambal is the source of this 72-nucleotide non-coding RNA. NCBI's taxonomy places the organism in Eukaryota, Metazoa, Chordata, Actinopteri, Siluriformes, Pangasiidae. The record is from the annotation of a GenBank genome assembly.
GUGGUGGUAGCUCAGUGGUUAAGAUAUUGGACUUCUGAUGAGAAGGUUGUGAGUUCAAAUCCCUGCACUACC